CUACGGGUUGCUGCAGUGGGGAAUCUUGGACAAUGGGCGAAAGCCCGAUCCAGCGACACCGCGUGGGGGAUGAAGGCUUUUGGGUCGUAAACCCCUUUUCUGGGGGAAGAAUAAGGUCAGGAGGAAAUGCCUGUCCGAUGACGGUACUCCAGGAAUAAGCAUCGGCAAAGUUCGUGCCAGCAGCCGCGGUAAGACGAAGGAUGCGAGCGUUAUCCGGAAUCACUGGGCGUAAAGGGCGUCUAGGCGGUUAGGUAAGUCACCUGUGAAAUCCCACGGCUCAACCGUGGACGGGCUUGUGAUACUGCCUGGCUUGGGUGUAGGAGAGGGAAGUGGAACUCACAGAGUAGCGGUGGAAUGCGUAGAUACUGUGAGGUACCCCGAUGGCGAAGGCAACUUCCUGGCCUACUACCGACGCUGAAGCGCGAAAGCGUGGGGAGCAAAGGGGAUUAGAUACCCCGGUAGUC
Molecule: ribosomal RNA, 464 nt
Filed under: uncultured bacterium
Lineage: Bacteria
Description: partial 16S ribosomal RNA
Rfam family: Bacterial small subunit ribosomal RNA
Source: RNAcentral